GCUAGUGUAGUAUAGUGGUUUUAGUGGUAGACUAGGACUCUGAGAGACCAUGGUUUGAAUCCCUGCUCGAUCA
Molecule: non-coding RNA, 73 nt
Organism: Phrynosoma platyrhinos (Desert horned lizard)
Lineage: Eukaryota; Metazoa; Chordata; Lepidosauria; Squamata; Phrynosomatidae
Source: the annotation of a GenBank genome assembly